UCCGGCUUAUCACCGGCAGUUUCCUCAGAGUUCUCGCCAUUACGCGUUAGCAACAGAGGACGAGGGUUGCGCUCGUUGCGGGACUUAACCCAACAUCUCACGACACGAGCUGACGACAGCCAUGCAGCACCUGUGCACCUCCCACCCGAAGUGAAGGAUUCCUUUUCGGGAAUCCAUAGAGGGCAUGUCAAAUCCUGGUAAGGUUCUUCGCGUUGCCUCGAAUUAAACCACAUGUUCCACCGCUUGUGCGGGUCCCCGUCAAUUUCUUUGAGUUUUAAUCUUGCGACCGUACUCCCCAGGCGGGAUGCUUAACGCGUUAGCUGCGCCACUGAAGGGUAACCCCCCAACGGCUAGCAUCCAUCGUUUACAGUACGGACUAC
RNAcentral lists this unclassified non-coding RNA (380 nucleotides) under uncultured Rickettsiales bacterium. RNAcentral's name for it is "contains 16S-23S intergenic spacer region". The record is from RNAcentral. Lineage: Bacteria; Pseudomonadati; Pseudomonadota; Alphaproteobacteria; Rickettsiales.